UACGUAGGGUCCGAGCGUUAAUCGGAAUUACUGGGCGUAAAGCGUGCGUAGGUGGUUUGUUAAGUCUGCUGUGAAAUCCCCGGGCUCAACCUGGGAAUGGCAGUGGAUACUGGCAAGCUAGAGUGCGGUAGAGGGUAGUGGAAUUCCCGGUGUAGCGGUGAAAUGCGUAGAGAUCGGGAGGAACACCAGUGGCGAAGGCGGCUCACUGGACCGGAACUGACGCUGAGGCGCGAAAGCGUGGGGAGCAAACAGG
This 253-nucleotide ribosomal RNA is filed under the name uncultured bacterium. Its description in RNAcentral is "partial 16S ribosomal RNA". It matches the Rfam family "Bacterial small subunit ribosomal RNA", at positions 524 to 776 of the family's 1533-position model. The record is from RNAcentral.